This 1570-nucleotide ribosomal RNA is filed under the name Staphylococcus aureus. RNAcentral describes it as "partial 23S ribosomal RNA". It matches the Rfam family "Bacterial large subunit ribosomal RNA", at positions 1236 to 2802 of the family's 2925-position model. Lineage: Bacteria; Bacillati; Bacillota; Bacilli; Caryophanales; Staphylococcaceae. The record is from RNAcentral.
GCGUUCUAAGGGCGUUGAAGCAUGAUCGUAAGGACAUGUGGAGCGCUUAGAAGUGAGAAUGCCGGUGUGAGUAGCGAAAGACGGGUGAGAAUCCCGUCCACCGAUUGACUAAGGUUUCCAGAGGAAGGCUCGUCCGCUCUGGGUUAGUCGGGUCCUAAGCUGAGGCCGACAGGCGUAGGCGAUGGAUAACAGGUUGAUAUUCCUGUACCACCUAUAAUCGUUUUAAUCGAUGGGGGGACGCAGUAGGAUAGGCGAAGCGUGCGAUUGGAUUGCACGUCUAAGCAGUAAGGCUGAGUAUUAGGCAAAUCCGGUACUCGUUAAGGCUGAGCUGUGAUGGGGAGAAGACAUUGUGUCUUCGAGUCGUUGAUUUCACACUGCCGAGAAAAGCCUCUAGAUAGAAAAUAGGUGCCCGUACCGCAAACCGACACAGGUAGUCAAGAUGAGAAUUCUAAGGUGAGCGAGCGAACUCUCGUUAAGGAACUCGGCAAAAUGACCCCGUAACUUCGGGAGAAGGGGUGCUCUUUAGGGUUAACGCCCAGAAGAGCCGCAGUGAAUAGGCCCAAGCGACUGUUUAUCAAAAACACAGGUCUCUGCUAAACCGUAAGGUGAUGUAUAGGGGCUGACGCCUGCCCGGUGCUGGAAGGUUAAGAGGAGUGGUUAGCUUCUGCGAAGCUACGAAUCGAAGCCCCAGUAAACGGCGGCCGUAACUAUAACGGUCCUAAGGUAGCGAAAUUCCUUGUCGGGUAAGUUCCGACCCGCACGAAAGGCGUAACGAUUUGGGCACUGUCUCAACGAGAGACUCGGUGAAAUCAUAGUACCUGUGAAGAUGCAGGUUACCCGCGACAGGACGGAAAGACCCCGUGGAGCUUUACUGUAGCCUGAUAUUGAAAUUCGGCACAGCUUGUACAGGAUAGGUAGGAGCCUUUGAAACGUGAGCGCUAGCUUACGUGGAGGCGCUGGUGGGAUACUACCCUAGCUGUGUUGGCUUUCUAACCCGCACCACUUAUCGUGGUGGGAGACAGUGUCAGGCGGGCAGUUUGACUGGGGCGGUCGCCUCCUAAAAGGUAACGGAGGCGCUCAAAGGUUCCCUCAGAAUGGUUGGAAAUCAUUCAUAGAGUGUAAAGGCAUAAGGGAGCUUGACUGCGAGACCUACAAGUCGAGCAGGGUCGAAAGACGGACUUAGUGAUCCGGUGGUUCCGCAUGGAAGGGCCAUCGCUCAACGGAUAAAAGCUACCCCGGGGAUAACAGGCUUAUCUCCCCCAAGAGUUCACAUCGACGGGGAGGUUUGGCACCUCGAUGUCGGCUCAUCGCAUCCUGGGGCUGUAGUCGGUCCCAAGGGUUGGGCUGUUCGCCCAUUAAAGCGGUACGCGAGCUGGGUUCAGAACGUCGUGAGACAGUUCGGUCCCUAUCCGUCGUGGGCGUAGGAAAUUUGAGAGGAGCUGUCCUUAGUACGAGAGGACCGGGAUGGACAUACCUCUGGUGUACCAGUUGUCGUGCCAACGGCAUAGCUGGGUAGCUAUGUGUGGACGGGAUAAGUGCUGAAAGCAUCUAAGCAUGAAGCCCCCCUCAA